CAGGUACCUGGGUUUCUGUACUAAUAUUGCACCCUGAAUUUUGAGAAAUAUUUAUAAGCACCUACUAACUUCAUGAGGAAAAUACCUUUGUCCAAGUGAUCAACUGUUAAAUUUAUAUCCCUCUACCUAUCAAUGAUAUAUUAAUCUGUUUUUUAAAAAAAGGCAGAAAAAGACAAAAAAUGGAAAAGUAAAAUGGGCAAGAGAUUUCUUACUUUUUCCUUCGCACUUUCUGGUAUUUCCCAGUUUUUCUAAAACUAGCAUAUACUAUUUUAAAAUUAUAGGUCAAUAAUAAUACAUGAAUGUGCUUUCCUUGUAAGAAAUUAAGACAUUCCAGAUAAGGCUAAAAAGUCCCUGUUGACCUCUAAUCCUGGAUUCCUCCCUCAUACCUAGAGAAAAUGUCUGUUAAAUAUUGGUAUGCUUUUUUUUUUCUAGAUCUUUUUCAAUGCAGAGUUAUUUGUGGUUUAUAUCUAUGGCAUCAUGUGUGUCUUGUCCUAAAACUUUUUAAAGCUCAAUAUUGUAUCUUUCACUAUUUUUUAUCUUGGUAUGUGCAAAACUACUUUAUCAGCUUAUUCUUUUUACCUGCUUCAGAGUUUUCCAUGAGAAUGGACAUUCCACAGUUUAUACAGCCUUUCCUCUAUGAUGGCCAUUAGGCAUCUUUCCUUUUUUUUUUUGGCAAUUAGUAGUCUUCUUUCAUUGAGAAGAAUUGGUAUGUCAUUUAAAAAUUUAAUUCUAGCUUCCUAAACUAAAAAAACUCCAGAAAGCUCAUGCCUCAUUCUAAUCUCAGAAAGCACUGUCUAGGCUUGGAGAUCUCCCCAGCUGUCUAAGUAGAAAGCAGAAUGAGGACUUCAGUGAGCCUAAUCCCUGCUCUGUGUUCCCCAUCCUUCCCCGACCCCUAGCCCCCAAGGACUGGGAUCAAUAUUGGAAACCUGUGCUUUAGUUCUUCCACCUCUGCUGCUGCUAUGCUGUGUGACCUCAGUGAUACAUGUGAGUGACCACCCAGACGGUGCCUGAGGAAGUGGUCCUUUCCUUGCGGCCCCCAUCAAUAGUCUGCCUCUGGAUUCUGAACAGGGGAAGCUGAAUUGAUGGUCUCUGAGUCACAGUUCCUCAUGAAAAGAGGUGCUUAACAGGAGACACUCGGGGACUGAGGCUUCAGGGACCCACCCCCCCCCGCCACCCCGCCCCACCUCCACUGUUCUGGUGCCCCUGAGGCCUUCAGAAGUUGUUCCUAUUUAUCCCUACGACUUCUGAGGGCUACGUUGCUAUAGCAACCUGGGUCUGCUGAUCUGUGUAAAAAACUUAUCAAUUAGCUGUCUGGAGAGUCCAUUUAAGGGGUAACAGAGAAGCAAUUACUCCUUAUAGAGGAAGCGCAAACAGUCCCCAUUUCAGAGCCUCUCAGGGAGAGUCUGAGAAUGGCAGGUCCAAGUCACUCAUUUUAGGGACGGGGGCACUGAGGGAUGAAAUGAACUGGUUCAUCCCAAGUCACAAAGACAAUUAGAGGCAAGGCAUCCUUUCUGGCUCUGAUUCAGAAGCUCCAUUAUCUCUCUACCUUUGUUCCAGGCUUCUCCUUUCCCCUCCCGUCUAUUCUCCAAGCACCUAUUGCCUCCAAGAUGGGCUCUAGACUGUAAGAGCCUUGUCCUUCACUCUCCCAGUAGCCCCCAGGCCUUUGAAAACAGCCAGGCAGACCCCCUCACCUGCUGCUCACAUGGCAUCCUGUGGUGGCCCACGAAGCCCCAGUGACCUGCUGCCUGGCUGCCUCCCUCCACGGCUCUAACCUCUGUCCCCUUGGCACCAGCUCACUAUGAGGUCCUCCCUAUUCCUUAAGACCAAGCUCCAGCCUCUUCAAAAACAGCACAUCUCUCUCUGACACAGCCACUCUCCCUUUAUCCUGUGUAUUCCUUCACAGCUCCCCUCCCCAUCUGCAACCACACUCUGAUUGUUACGACUUUGCUCGUUCCCCUCUCUGGAAUAAAAAUGGUAAAACUCUGUCUCUUA
Molecule: long non-coding RNA, 1992 nt
Organism: Homo sapiens (human)
Lineage: Eukaryota; Metazoa; Chordata; Mammalia; Primates; Hominidae
Gene: NIPAL4-DT
Product: NIPAL4 divergent transcript
Source: Ensembl